Vigna unguiculata (cowpea) is the source of this 76-nucleotide small nucleolar RNA. RefSeq annotates it as small nucleolar RNA R21. Lineage: Eukaryota; Viridiplantae; Streptophyta; Magnoliopsida; Fabales; Fabaceae. The record is from RefSeq and is a predicted model, not a curated record.
AUUUCCUAUGAUGAUUUAUAUAAUACUGAAAGUAGUGGACUAAAUUUCCUUGAGGAGAAAUGAAAUCCGAGGGAUA